RNAcentral lists this non-coding RNA (24 nucleotides) under Arabidopsis thaliana (thale cress). Lineage: Eukaryota; Viridiplantae; Streptophyta; Magnoliopsida; Brassicales; Brassicaceae. The record is from RNAcentral.
GGGGUGUUUGCUGAACCGUGGUUG